Molecule: ribosomal RNA, 224 nt
Filed under: uncultured bacterium
Lineage: Bacteria
Description: partial 16S ribosomal RNA
Rfam family: Bacterial small subunit ribosomal RNA
Source: RNAcentral
UACGAAGGGGGCUAGCGUUGUUCGGUAAUCACGUGGGCGUAAAGGGUGCGUAGGCGGAUCUUUAAGUCAGGGGUGAAAUCCUGGAGCUCAACUCCAGAACUGCCUUGAUACUGAGGAUCGUCGAGUUCGGGAGAGGUGAGUGGAACUGCGAGUGUAGAGGUGAAAUUCGUAGAUAUUACGCAAGAACACCAGUGGCGAAGGCGGACUCGACUGGCCCGUAGUAC